Camellia sinensis is the source of this 524-nucleotide long non-coding RNA. RefSeq lists it as uncharacterized. Lineage: Eukaryota; Viridiplantae; Streptophyta; Magnoliopsida; Ericales; Theaceae. The record is from RefSeq and is a predicted model, not a curated record.
AUAUAUAUUUUGGUGGAAUAUUUGGAGGACAUCUCUUUCGAUUUUGAUAUCUCAUCUCAUCGUUCACUCUUUACCGGGGGGGGAACCUCUCUCCUCUCUCCCACCGUCUUCGAGAUCUUGGCCGAUUUGUGCUCUUCGAGUUCUCAUGAUGUUUAUUUCCCGUCUUUUACCUUCCAAACCUCACUCUUCUCGGCGAUUCGUUUGAUUUUACAAUUUGGCUUGGCUUUGAACAAGUUCAUCGCAAAUUGGAUACCAGAAUUGAUUCACACUACUUGGACCAACUUCGUGGUAGUCGAAUUCGAUGCCAGAAUCGACCCAAAUGACAACCUACGCCUGGUAAAUCUCUCUCUCUCUCUCUGUUAAUUGUUGGUAUAUAUAUAUAUCCAAUUCAAUUAUUUGAUUUGUACUCGUGGAUUUUCUUACGCCUUAUUAGUUUCUUACUAUUCCUGUUUAAUAUGUACUACAAGUGUGUUGCGGUGUGGUGUGGUUUGCAAUAAUAUAUUGAAUAGAAAAUUGGGUGUAUA